RNAcentral lists this ribosomal RNA (251 nucleotides) under uncultured bacterium. RNAcentral describes it as "partial 16S ribosomal RNA". It matches the Rfam family "Bacterial small subunit ribosomal RNA", at positions 524 to 776 of the family's 1533-position model. The record is from RNAcentral.
UACGAAGGGGGCUAGCGUUGCUCGGAAUCACUGGGCGUAAAGGGUGCGUAGGCGGGUAUUCAAGUCAGAGGUGAAAGCCCGGGGCUCAACCCCGGAACUGCCUUGAAACUAGAUAGCUAGAAUCUUGGAGAGGUCAGUGGAAUUCCGAGUGUAGAGGUGAAAUUCGUAGAUAUUCGGAAGAACACCAGUGGCGAAGGCGACUGACUGGACAAGUAUUGACGCUGAGGCACGAAAGCGUGGGAGCAAACAGG